Long non-coding RNA from Rosa rugosa (rugosa rose), 796 nucleotides. RefSeq lists it as uncharacterized. The record is from RefSeq and is a predicted model, not a curated record. Lineage: Eukaryota; Viridiplantae; Streptophyta; Magnoliopsida; Rosales; Rosaceae. The transcript is spliced from 3 exons.
ACAUUUUGACCAAAAAAACAUCGAUCACAGAUCUCUCUCUCUCCCCAGCCCCCCUCUUUUCUCUCUCUCUCCCCUCGAUAACAGAUCUUCACGUCUUUGUCUCUUCUUCCAAUUCCGGCGAACACCGGCACGGCUCUAUCGGAUCUUGCACCAUCGUCGUCACCUUCGAUUUCCAGAAAAUGAAACUGAUCAAAAAAUUAUAGAUCGAAUGAAAAUGAGAGAGGAGCAGGCAGCUCGUCGGCGGUCGUCUGAUCGCUGCUUGAUGAUUGUGAUCGGAAAGGUGAGAGGAGGAUCGCGACGAUGAUGAAGGUGCACGGCGAGGCGAGGCAAGGCAACCCAAGCAUCGACGACGUCGUAUAGGGCUCAGUUUGGUGUUGACUCCUUUAAGCCUCCUGAUUUUCAAGCCACCUGAUUCUCAUGAAGCGACAGCUCCGACUCGUCUCAUGCCUCCACCGCCGCCGUCCCCCGCUUAACCUUUCACAACGAUUUUCCGGCAACCGCUCACUCCAGAGUUCUUUCCCUUUGCAUUUGUAGUAGUAGAUUUUGAAAAUCAUGUGACUUUGGAUAUUGAAGCCUCCAUUGAACAAGAGAUCAUUGCCAACCAAAAAAUGUUGAAAUGAAGGCUCGUGUUGAAGGUGGCAAAUGAUUCAUAUGGGUCUAGAGCGUCACCAUUGAAAAAUGACAGUAGCAUUACAACAUUGACAAUAGCUUUAUACAACUAUUGUAAUAGAUUUUCAAACUAUGGUAGUGGCUUUUUACAAGUAUGGAAGUAGCUUUUUAUAUAGUUACAUUAUUG